This is a non-coding RNA of Paramuricea clavata, 898 nucleotides long. The record is from the annotation of a GenBank genome assembly. Lineage: Eukaryota; Metazoa; Cnidaria; Anthozoa; Malacalcyonacea; Plexauridae.
AUUAAUCUGUAAAACGGGUACGUAAAUAGAUUUCUCUUAUUUUAUCCAUGUAUUAGUAUACAUGGUCUGCUAGUAAAGAAAAACAGCUAGUUGCCAAAGACAAACAAUGUUUGAGCUGAACAUAUUAUGAACUAGCCAUUGGAAUGAUUCACCAGAUUCACAAGGGGCAUGGGGCAUAUUUCAGGAUUUGCUACCUGAAUUGUCCACAUGGUUUACAACCAGAUAUAAAUAUUAGUUAUACAGUAUCAAGUGUAGAUGCCCAAAAAUUAAAUCCUGAAAAUUUAAUAGACUGUAAAUAAAUUUUUUGAGAUACAGUAUGUAAUAAAGGGAUGUUUAUAUGGGAGCGAGCCGCGAGCCUGGAUGCCCAGGGUUAGGGGGUGCAGUAGGUCACUUUUCCUGAGGCGAAUUUUGGCCCAGCUUUAGCAAAAUCUCGGGCUAAAGAGGCGGGAUCUCGCUUAGCUAUAGCUGGCCCCGCUCUUUACCCAUAUAUACACAAGGUGAACUUUAGUAGGAAAUAACAACAAAGGCAGGAUCUCGCCAAAACUGGGCCAGCUUGGGUACCCAGGCUUGGCUUGCAGUUGCACUAUAUAAACAGCCCCUAUAUAUAGGCAGUAUAUAUUUUGUCCGAUAAUUUGAGUCUUUGGAGAUUUUGUGUGUAAAUGAAUAAAAUGACCCCUUACGGGUGGGUUGAGGGGGGUGUUUAUGUCAACAUUUUGGAAAGCAAUAAUAUUUUAUUAAAAAAUUUGAAUAAUCACAUAUUAAACUCUCUUUAUAGUAGUGUAUACAGCAUUGUAUUGUGUGUGAUUAAAGUAUGGUUAUUUUUUUACCCCACCUCUGCAUACAAGGAUUUUUUGGCCACCCCACCUAAAGCAAGUAUUAUAUUUUUCAGUUACCCCAC